Long non-coding RNA from Cyprinus carpio (common carp), 1140 nucleotides. Lineage: Eukaryota; Metazoa; Chordata; Actinopteri; Cypriniformes; Cyprinidae. The record is from Ensembl.
CUUAGUUGUUGAAAGUAAUAUGUUUAUACUUAAAUUUUCUUUUAAUGUUAGAUGGUUGAAGGAUGAGUAAGAUAAUGUCACCUCAUUGUAGCCCAGAGUUAAAGGGGUUAUAUUAUGCUGCUAAAAAGAACAUUAUUUUGAUGGUGCCAUCAAGUCCGGUCGCCGUCCAGGUCACUCCGCUUAGAUUGUGUUUUUAUUUACUUUUUUACCACUUUUGCUUUCUCUUUUUACACACAUAAUGUCUGCACUGAUCAUUUACGACAAAGUAACACUUUUGGACAUUGGACACCGCUUCACUGACCUGUUUCAGGACACUUUAUCCUCCAAUCCAUCGUGGCCAUCAGAUAUUCUCCGGAACGCCGAGAUAAACAAUGGCCACCUGAAUAACCACCCGAGGCGUCGGAUCAAAAAACACUGCGGGAAAUGCGCUGGGAUUCGCAACAGACUGAGGAAAAGAGCUCACAGCCCUCUUCUGCCGAGCAUUCUGCUCGCCAAUGUCCAGUCUCUGGAGAAUAAGAUGGACGAUCUUAGAGCCAGGACAAGUUUCCAACGGGACAUUAGGGACUGUAACAGCCUUUGUUUGUCUGAGACAUGGCUCACGACCUCGGUCCCGGACGCUGCUGUAACGCCGUCUGAACACUUCUCUGUUUUACGGAUGGACAGGACAGCCGAGGCUGGUAAAUCCAAAGGUGGAGGAGUGUGUUUCAUGAUCAACAAGAAAUGGUGUGACCCCAGGAAUAUCUACACUCUGUCGCGCACCUGCUCGCCUCAUCUGGAACAUUUAUCCAUUAUUUGCUGCCCAUUCUAUCUCCCCCGGGAGUUUUCAUCGAUCAUUGUUACUGCUGUUUAUAUCCCACCACAAGCUGACACUGGUUUGGCUUUGUCUGAGCUUCAUGAUGCACUCAGUGGCAACAUCAACAAACAUCCUGACGCUGCUAUUAUCAUCACUGGGGACUUUAACAAAGCCAACCUCAGGCAAGUUAUGCCUAAUUUUUAUCAACAUGUAUCCUGUCCAACCAGAGGACUGAAUACACUGCAUCAUUGCUACACUCAAUUUAAGAAUGCCAACAAAGCUCGCUCAUUACAGGCUUUCGGCAAAUCGGACCAUGCCGUCAUUUUCCUCACACCGGAAUAUAAACA